Molecule: ribosomal RNA, 497 nt
Filed under: uncultured bacterium
Lineage: Bacteria
Description: partial 16S ribosomal RNA
Rfam family: Bacterial small subunit ribosomal RNA
Source: RNAcentral
GACGAACGCUGGCGGCGUGCCUAAUACAUGCAAGUUGAGCGCUGAAGGUUGGUACUUGUACCAACUGGAUGAGCAGCGAACGGGUGAGUAACGCGUGGGGAAUCUGCCUUUGAGCGGGGGACAACAUUUGGAAACGAAUGCUAAUACCGCAUAAAAACUUUAAACACAAGUUUUAAGGUUGAAAGAUGCAAUUGCAUCACUCAAAGAUGAUCCCGCGUUGUAUUAGCUAGGUGGGGAGGGAAAGGCCCACCAAGGCGAUGAUACAUAGCCGACCUGAGAGGGUGAUCGGCCCACUUGGGACUGAGACACGGCCCAAACUCCUACGGGAGGCAGCAGGAGGGAAUCUUCGGCAAUAGACGAAAGGCUGACCGAGCAACGCCGCGGGAGUGAAGAAGGUUUUCGGGUCGUAAAACUCUGUUGGUAGAGAAGGAAGUUGGUGAGAGUGGAAAGCUCAUCAAGUGACGGUAACUACCCAGAAAGGGACGGCUAACUACGUG